Molecule: non-coding RNA, 383 nt
Filed under: Pongo abelii (Sumatran orangutan)
Lineage: Eukaryota; Metazoa; Chordata; Mammalia; Primates; Hominidae
Source: RNAcentral
AAGGGUGGGACUAAGAGAGCUGCGCCCUGCGGUCCCCACCCAGCCUCUCCCCCGGGGUGUGGCCGCCGUCUGUUCGGUCACAGCCAGGCUGCGGCCUACGUUGAGGUACAGGGGCCCUUUGCUGGCCCCAGAUGUGGACAGUAUCCUCUCGAAUGCCCACCACUGGGAACCCUUAAGUCCCUCAAGAUCUUUCCUCAGCCUCGGCCAGUCCUAUCUCAGCAGUAAUGGCCAGUGUUAAGUAUAGUGCCUAGAAAAUUACAGACUAUUCCAGACCAGGAAGGAAAGCUGACUUCAUCUUCAGAUACUCAGGCUCCAGCCUGGAGACAUCUCAUCUCUCCUCUGUCACUCCUUCCCCAUUAUUAAAGUUUGUGGAUGUUCCUUAG